GCUUCGGCCUGCCGGCGAGUGGCGAACGGGUGAGUAAUGCAUCGGAACGUGCCCAGUCAUGGGGGAUAACUACGCGAAAGCGUAGCUAAUACCGCAUACGCCCUGAGGGGGAAAGUGGGGGAUCUUCGGACCUCACGUGAUUGGAGCGGCCGAUGUCAGAUUAGCUAGUUGGUGAGGUAAAGGCUCACCAAGGCGACGAUCUGUAGCGGGUCUGAGAGGAUGAUCCGCCACACUGGGACUGAGACACGGCCCAGACUCCUACGGGAGGCAGCAGUGGGGAAUUUUGGACAAUGGGCGCAAGCCUGAUCCAGCCAUGCCGCGUGAGUGAAGAAGGCCUUCGGGUUGUAAAGCUCUUUCGCAAGGGAAGAAAACGUGUGGGCUAAUAUCCUGCGCGGAUGACGGUACCUUGACAAGAAGCACCGGCUAACUACGUGCCAGCAGCCGCGGUAAUACGUAGGGUGCGAGCGUUAAUCGGAAUUACUGGGCGUAAAGCGUGCGCAGGCGG
RNAcentral lists this ribosomal RNA (505 nucleotides) under uncultured Azoarcus sp. RNAcentral's name for it is "bacterial SSU rRNA". It matches the Rfam family "Bacterial small subunit ribosomal RNA", at positions 77 to 578 of the family's 1533-position model. The record is from RNAcentral. Lineage: Bacteria; Pseudomonadati; Pseudomonadota; Betaproteobacteria; Rhodocyclales; Zoogloeaceae.